UACAGAGGGUGCGAGCGUUGUCCGGAAUCACUGGGCGUAAAGGGCGCGUAGGUGGCGCUCCAAGUCCGUGGUGAAAGCUCGAUGCUUAACAUCGAGUCGGCCACGGAGACUGGAGGGCUCGAGCACUGUAGGGGCAGAUGGAAUUCCGGGUGUAGCGGUGGAAUGCGUAGAGAUCCGGAAGAACACCGGUGGCGAAGGCGGUCUGCUGGGCAGUUGCUGACACUGAGACGCGAAAGCGUGGGGAGCGAACAGG
RNAcentral lists this ribosomal RNA (253 nucleotides) under uncultured bacterium. RNAcentral describes it as "partial 16S ribosomal RNA". It matches the Rfam family "Bacterial small subunit ribosomal RNA", at positions 524 to 776 of the family's 1533-position model. The record is from RNAcentral.